RNAcentral lists this transfer RNA (73 nucleotides) under Anaerolineaceae bacterium. RNAcentral's name for it is "tRNA-Thr". It matches the Rfam family "tRNA". From Rfam's summary of the family: Transfer RNA (tRNA) molecules are approximately 80 nucleotides in length. Their secondary structure includes four short double-helical elements and three loops (D, anti-codon, and T loops). The record is from RNAcentral. Lineage: Bacteria; Bacillati; Chloroflexota; Anaerolineae; Anaerolineales; Anaerolineaceae. RNAcentral also lists the same sequence under 2 other names.
GCCCUCAUAGCUCAGGUGGUAGAGCACACCCUUGGUAAGGGUGAGGUCAUGGGUUCGAGUCCCAUUGAGGGCU